Molecule: ribosomal RNA, 379 nt
Filed under: uncultured bacterium
Lineage: Bacteria
Description: bacterial SSU rRNA
Rfam family: Bacterial small subunit ribosomal RNA
Source: RNAcentral
UGGCGGGCCUGAGAGGGUGACCGGCCACACUGGGACUGAGACACGGCCCAGACUCCUACGGGAGGCAGCAGUGGGGAAUAUUGCACAUGGGCGCAAAGCCUGAUGCAGCAACGCCGCGUGAGGGAUGACGGCCUUCGGGUUGUAAACCUCUUUUAGCAGGGAAGAAGCGAAAGUGACGGUACCUGCAGAAAAAGCACCGGCUAACUACGUGCCAGCAGCCGCGGUAAUACGUAGGGUGCAAGCGUUGUCCCGGAAUUAUUGGGCGUAAAGAGCUCGUAGGCGGUCUGUCGCGUCUGCUGUGAAAACUGGAGGCUCAACCUCUAGCCUGCAGUGCGUACGGGCAGACUAGAGUGUGGUAGGGGAGACGGGAAUUCCUCUA